This 284-nucleotide ribosomal RNA is filed under the name Phocaeicola plebeius DSM 17135. RNAcentral describes it as "partial 16S ribosomal RNA". It matches the Rfam family "Bacterial small subunit ribosomal RNA", at positions 493 to 776 of the family's 1533-position model. Lineage: Bacteria; Pseudomonadati; Bacteroidota; Bacteroidia; Bacteroidales; Bacteroidaceae. The record is from RNAcentral.
UCUGGUCCUUGUGUGCCAGCCGCCGCGGUCCUCCGGCGGCUGCGCGCGUUCUCCGGCUUUCUUGGGUUUCCCGGGCGCGCCGCCGGGUCGUUAAGUCAGCUGUGAAAGUUUGGGGCUCAACCUCAAAAUUGCAGUUGAUACUGGCGUCCUUGAGUGCGGUUGAGGUGUGCGGAAUUCGUGGUGUAGCGGUGAAAUGCUUAGAUAUCACGAAGAACUCCGAUUGCGAAGGCAGCACACUAAUCCGUAACUGACGUUCAUGCUCGAAAGUGUGGGUAUCAAACAGG